GACGAACGCUGGCGGCGUGCUUAACACAUGCAAGUCGAACGGAAAGGCCUGCUUUCCCUUGUGGAUUGCGGGUGCUCGAGUGGCGAACGGGUGAGUAACACGUGAGUGAUCUGCCCCCAACUUGGGUAUAAGCCUGGGAAACUGGGUCUAAUUCCCGAUAGGACUGCAGGGUGGUGCCUGUGGUGGAAAACGAUUUUCUAGUGGUUGGGGAUGAGCUCGCGGCCUAUCAGCUUGUUGGUGGGGUAAUGGCCUACCAAGGCGGCGACGGGUAGCCGGCCUGAGAGGGUGGACGGCCACAUUGAGACUGAGAUACGGCCCAGACUCCUACGGGAGGCAGCAGUGGGGAAUAUUGCACAAUGGGCGGAAGCCUGAUGCAGCGACGCCGCGUGGGGGAUGACGGCCUUCGGGUUGUAAACUCCUUUCGACCGCGAGGAAGCCACCUGGUUGGAAGGGUGGUGACGGUAGUGGUAGAAGAAGCACCGGCUAACUACGUG
RNAcentral lists this ribosomal RNA (494 nucleotides) under uncultured bacterium. RNAcentral's name for it is "partial 16S ribosomal RNA". It matches the Rfam family "Bacterial small subunit ribosomal RNA", at positions 28 to 507 of the family's 1533-position model. The record is from RNAcentral.